GGGGUGGGCAGAUAGGGUGGCUAUGGGUAUGGGUUCGCACGGCACGCCCUCACCUCGCUGCCCCCGGUGUGCUAUGGGGUAUGGGGUGGGGCAGAUAUGGGGUAUGGGGUGGGGCAGCUAUGGGGUGGCUAUGGGGUAUGGGGUGGGGCAGAUAUGGGGUAUGGGGUGGGGCAGAUAUGGGGCGGCUAUGGGGUAUGGGGUGGGGCAGAUAUGGGGUGGCUGUGGGGCACAAGUGGGGCACAAAUGGGGUGAGGAUGGGGUAUGGGGUGGGUAGAUAUGGGUGGCUUACGAGGGCUAUGGGGUGGGCAGAAUAUGGGGUUGGGAUGGGCAUUAUGGGGCCGGCUAUGGGGUAUGGGAUGGGGC
Molecule: long non-coding RNA, 363 nt
Filed under: Coturnix japonica (Japanese quail)
Lineage: Eukaryota; Metazoa; Chordata; Aves; Galliformes; Phasianidae
Description: lncRNA (ENSCJPG00005002383.1)
Source: RNAcentral